AAUGAACGCUGGCGGCAGGCCUAACACAUGCAAGUCGAACGAGUGGCGGACGGGUGAGUAAUGUCUGGGAAACUGCCCGAUGGAGGGGGAUAACUACUGGAAACGGUAGCUAAUACCGCAUACUAUCGGAUGUGCCCAUAUGGGAUUAGCUAGUAGGUGGGGUAAAGGCUCACCUAGGCGACGAUCCCUAGCUGGUCUGAGAGGAGGACAAGCAAAACUGGAACUGGGACACGGUCCAGACGCCUACGGGAGGCAGCAGUGGGGAAUAUUGCACAAUGGGCGCAAGCCUGAUGCAGCCAGGCCGCGUGUAUGAAGAAGGCCUUAGGGUUGUAAAGUACUUUCAGCGAGGAGGCGUUAAUCGAAGAAGAAGCACCGGCUAACUCCGUGCCAGCAGCCGCGGUAAUAC
This 406-nucleotide ribosomal RNA is filed under the name uncultured bacterium. Its description in RNAcentral is "partial 16S ribosomal RNA". It matches the Rfam family "Bacterial small subunit ribosomal RNA", at positions 29 to 526 of the family's 1533-position model. The record is from RNAcentral.